RNAcentral lists this ribosomal RNA (1169 nucleotides) under Arthrobacter sp. RNAcentral's name for it is "bacterial SSU rRNA". It matches the Rfam family "Bacterial small subunit ribosomal RNA", at positions 56 to 1245 of the family's 1533-position model. Lineage: Bacteria; Bacillati; Actinomycetota; Actinomycetes; Micrococcales; Micrococcaceae. The record is from RNAcentral.
UGCAGUCGAACGAUGAUCCGGUGCUUGCRCCGGGGAUUAGUGGCGAACGGGUGAGUAACACGUGAGUAACCUGCCCUUAACUCUGGGAUAAGCCUGGGAAACUGGGUCUAAUACCGGAUAUGACUCCUCAUCGCAUGGUGGGGGGUGGAAAGCUUUUUGUGGUUUUGGAUGGACUCGCGGCCUAUCAGCUUGUUGGUGAGGUAAUGGCUUACCAAGGCGACGACGGGUAGCCGGCCUGAGAGGGUGACCGGCCACACUGGGACUGAGACACGGCCCAGACUCCUACGGGAGGCAGCAGUGGGGAAUAUUGCACAAUGGGCGCAAGCCUGAUGCAGCGACGCCGCGUGAGGGAUGACGGCCUUCGGGUUGUAAACCUCUUUCAGUAGGGAAGAAGCGAAAGUGACGGUACCUGCAGAAGAAGCGCCGGCUAACUACGUGCCAGCAGCCGCGGUAAUACGUAGGGCGCAAGCGUUAUCCGGAAUUAUUGGGCGUAAAGAGCUCGUAGGCGGUUUGUCGCGUCUGCCGUGAAAGUCCGGGGCUCAACUCCGGAUCUGCGGUGGGUACGGGCAGACUAGAGUGAUGUAGGGGAGACUGGAAUUCCUGGUGUAGCGGUGAAAUGCGCAGAUAUCAGGAGGAACACCGAUGGCGAAGGCAGGUCUCUGGGCAUUAACUGACGCUGAGGAGCGAAAGCAUGGGGAGCGAACAGGAUUAGAUACCCUGGUAGUCCAUGCCGUAAACGUUGGGCACUAGGUGUGGGGGACAUUCCACGUUUUCCGCGCCGUAGCUAACGCAUUAAGUGCCCCGCCUGGGGAGUACGGCCGCAAGGCUAAAACUCAAAGGAAUUGACGGGGGCCCGCACAAGCGGCGGAGCAUGCGGAUUAAUUCGAUGCAACGCGAAGAACCUUACCAAGGCUUGACAUGAACCGGUAAGACCUGGAAACAGGUCCCCCGCUUGCGGUCGGUUUACAGGUGGUGCAUGGUUGUCGUCAGCUCGUGUCGUGAGAUGUUGGGUUAAGUCCCGCAACGAGCGCAACCCUCGUUCUAUGUUGCCAGCACGUGAUGGUGGGGACUCAUAGGARACUGCCGGGUCACUCGGAGGAAGGUGGGNACGACGUCAAUCAUCAUGCCCUUAUGUCUGGGCUUMCNAUGCUACAUGGCCGGUACAAGGG